This is a non-coding RNA of Podarcis lilfordi (Lilford's wall lizard), 75 nucleotides long. The record is from the annotation of a GenBank genome assembly. NCBI's taxonomy places the organism in Eukaryota, Metazoa, Chordata, Lepidosauria, Squamata, Lacertidae.
GCUGGGAUAGCUUAGCUGGUAGAGAGCAUAAGACUCUUAAUGUCAGGGUUGUGAGUUCUAGCCCCACCUUGAGUG